AACGAACGCUGGCGGCGCGCCUAAUACAUGCAAGUCGAGCGAGAAGGUGUAGCAAUACACUUGUAAAGCGGCGAACGGGUGAGGAAUACAUGGGUAACCUACCCUCGAGUGGGGAAUAACUAGCCGAAAGGUUAGCUAAUACCGCGUACGCUUCCGGAACUGCGGUUCCGGAAGGAAAGCGAUACUGUGAGUAUCGCGCUCUUGGAUGGGCUCAUGUCCUAUCAGCUUGUUGGUGAGGUAACGGCUCACCAAGGCUUCGACGGGUAGCUGGUCUGAGAGGACGAUCAGCCACACUGGCACUGCGACACGGGCCAGACUCCUACGGGAGGCAGCAGUAAGGAAUAUUGCGCAAUGGACGACAGUCUGACGCAGCGACGCCGCGUGGGGGGACGAAGGGUCUUC
RNAcentral lists this ribosomal RNA (402 nucleotides) under uncultured bacterium. RNAcentral's name for it is "bacterial SSU rRNA". It matches the Rfam family "Bacterial small subunit ribosomal RNA", at positions 29 to 420 of the family's 1533-position model. The record is from RNAcentral.